GCGAUGAAGAAGGUUAAUUAACUUAAAUAUGUGAAUUUAAUGAUUUGAAGCAACUCAUUAUCGAUUGAUAAAUGUGUAUAUACAAGAAAAUCGACUUUAUACUUAAACAUAAGGUUGUGGAAUUCUUGCAAAUUCACUGCCGUUAUGGCUUUAUGUCCACUUCAGUGAGAUGAAGAAGGUUAAUUAACUUAAAUAUGUGAAUUUAAUGAUUUGAAGCAACUCAUUAUCGAUUGAUAAAUGUGUAUAUACAAGAAAAUCGACUUUAUACUUAAACAUAAGGUUGUGGAAUUAUUGCAAAUUCACUGCCGUUAUGGCUUUAUGUCCACUUCAGUGAGAUGAAGAAGGUUAAUUAACUUAAAUAUGUGAAUUUAAUGAUUUGAAGCAACUCAUUAUCGAUUGAUAAAUGUGUAUAUACAAGAAAAUCGACUUUAUACUUAAACAUAAGGUUGUGGAAUUAUUGCAAAUUCACUGCCGUUAUGGCUUUAUGUCCACUUCAGUGAGAUGAAGAAGGUUAAUUAACUUAAAUAUGUGAAUUUAAUGAUUUGAAGCAACUCAUUAUCGAUUGAUAAAUGUGUUUAUACAAGAAAAUCGACUUUAUACUUAAAUAUAAGAUAACGGAAUUCUUCCAAAUUCACUGCCGUUAUGGCUUUAUGUCCACUCCAGUGAGAUGAAGAAGGUUAAUUAACUUAAAUAUGUGAAUAUAAUGAUUUGAAGCAACUCAUUAUCGAUUGAUAAAUGUGUAUAUACAAGAAAAUCGUCGUUGUACUUAAACAUAAGGUUGUGGAAUUCUUGCAAAUUCACUGCCGUUAUGGCUUUAUGUCCACUUCAGUGAGAUGAAGAAGGUUAAUUAACUUAAAUAUGUGAAUUUAAUGAUUUGAAGCAACUCAUUAUCGAUUGAUAAAUGUGUAUAUACAAGAAAAUCGUCGUUGUACUUAAACAUAAGGUUGUGGAAUUCUUGCAAAUUCACUGCCGUUAUGGAUUUAUGUCCACUUCAGUGAGAUGAAGAAGGUUAAUUAACUUAAAUAUGUGAAUUUAAUGAUUUGAAGCAACUCAUUAUCGAUUGAUAAAUGUGUUUAUACAAGAAAAUCGACUUUAUACUUAAAUAUAAGAUAACGGAAUUCUUCCAAAUUCACUGCCGUUAUGGCUUUAUGUCCACUCCAGUGAGAUGAAGAAGGUUAAUUAACUUAAAUAUGUGAAUUUAAUGAUUUGAAGCAACUUAUUAUCGAUUGAUAAAUGUGUUUAUACAAGAAAAUCGACUUUAUACUUAAACAUAAGGUUGUGGAAUUAUUGCAAAUUCACUGCCGUUAUGGCUUUAUGUCCACUCCAGUGAGAUGAAGAAGGUUAAUUAACUUAAAUAUGUGAAUUUAAUGAUUUGAAGCAACUCAUUAUCGAUUGAUAAAUGUGUAUAUACAAGAAAAUCGACUUUAUACUUAAAUAUAAGAUAACGGAAUUCUUCCAAAUUCACUGCCGUUAUGGCUUUAUGUCCACUCCAGUGAGAUGAAGAAGGUUAAUUAACUUAAAUAUGUGAAUUUAAUGAUUUGAAGCAACUUAUUAUCGAUUGAUAAAUGUGUUUAUACAAGAAAAUCGACUUUAUACUUAAACAUAAGGUUGUGGAAUUAUUGCAAAUUCACUGCCGUUAUGGCUUUAUGUCCACUCCAGUGAGAUGAAGAAGGUUAAUUAACUUAAAUAUGUGAAUUUAAUGAUUUGAAGCAACUCAUUAUCGAUUGAUAAAUGUGUAUAUACAAGAAAAUCGACUUUAUACUUAAAUAUAAGAUAACGGAAUUCUUCCAAAUUCACUGCCGUUAUGGCUUUAUGUCCACUCCAGUGAGAUGAAGAAGGUUAAUUAACUUAAAUAUGUGAAUUUAAUGAUUUGAAGCAACUUAUUAUCGAUUGAUAAAUGUGUUUAUACAAGAAAAUCGACUUUAUACUUAAACAUAAGGUUGUGGAAUUAUUGCAAAUUCACUGCCGUUAUGGCUUUAUGUCCACUCCAGUGAGAUGAAGAAGGUUAAUUAACUUAAAUAUGUGAAUUUAAUGAUUUGAAGCAACUCAUUAUCGAUUGAUAAAUGUGUAUAUACAAGAAAAUCGUCGUUGUACUUAAACAUAAGGUUGUGGAAUUAUUGCAAAUUCACUGCCGUUAUGGCUUUAUGUCCACUCCAGUGAGAUGAAGAAGGUUAAUUAACUUAAAUAUGUGAAUUUUAUGAUUUGAAGCAUCUCAUUAUCGAUUGAUAAAUGUGUAUAUACAAGAAAAUCGUCGUUGUACUUAAACAUAAGGUUGUGGAAUUCUUGCAAAUUCACUGCCGUUAUGGCUUUAUGUCCACUCCAGUGAGAUGAAGAAGGUUAAUUAACUUAAAUAUGUGAAUUUAAUGAUUUGAAGCAACUUAUUAUCGAUUGAUAAAUGUGUUUAUACAAGAAAAUCGACUUUAUACUUAAAUAUUAGGUUGUGGAAUUCUUGCAAAUUCACUGCCGUUAUGGCUUUAUGUCCACUUCAGUGAGAUGAAGAAGGUUAAUUAACUUAAAUAUGUGAAUUUUAUGAUUUGAAGCAUCUCAUUAUCGAUUGAUAAAUGUGUAUAUACAAGAAAAUCGACUUUAUACUUAAACAUAAGGUUGUGGAAUUAUUGCAAAUUCACUGCCGUUAUGGAUUUAUGUCCAC
Long non-coding RNA from Bactrocera dorsalis (oriental fruit fly), 2650 nucleotides. RefSeq lists it as uncharacterized. The transcript has 3 exons. The record is from RefSeq and is a predicted model, not a curated record. NCBI's taxonomy places the organism in Eukaryota, Metazoa, Arthropoda, Insecta, Diptera, Tephritidae.